Molecule: non-coding RNA, 133 nt
Organism: Podarcis lilfordi (Lilford's wall lizard)
Lineage: Eukaryota; Metazoa; Chordata; Lepidosauria; Squamata; Lacertidae
Source: the annotation of a GenBank genome assembly
AAGCAAAGAAAACCAUACGGUGCAAAAAUAAUUCCAUAAAACUAGAGCAAAUAUAACAACGUUGUUUUUCCUAUGUUGUGAUAUUUGGUCUGGUUUUAUGGAAUUGCUUUUGCACUGUAUGGUUUUCUUUGCU